Molecule: ribosomal RNA, 587 nt
Filed under: uncultured bacterium
Lineage: Bacteria
Description: bacterial SSU rRNA
Rfam family: Bacterial small subunit ribosomal RNA
Source: RNAcentral
AACGGGCGAGUAACACGUGGGCAACCUGCCCAAAAGAGGGGGAUAACACUUGGAAACAGGUGCUAAUACCGCAUAACCAUAGUUACCGCAUGGUAACUAUGUAAAAGGUGGCUAUGCUACCGCUUUUGGAUGGGCCCGCGGCGCAUUAGCUAGUUGGUGGGGUAAAGGCUUACCAAGGCAAUGAUGCGUAGCCGAACUGAGAGGUUGAUCGGCCACAUUGGGACUGAGACACGGCCCAAACUCCUACGGGAGGCAGCAGUAGGGAAUCUUCCACAAUGGGCGAAAGCCUGAUGGAGCAACGCCGCGUGGGUGAAGAAGGUCUUCGGAUCGUAAAACCCUGUUGUUAGAGAAGAAAGUGCGUGAGAGUAACUGUUCACGUUUCGACGGUAUCUAACCAGAAAGCCACGGCUAACUACGUGCCAGCAGCCGCGGUAAUACGUAGGUGGCAAGCGUUAUCCGGAUUUAUUGGGCGUAAAGGGAACGCAGGCGGUCUUUUAAGUCUGAUGUGAAAGCCUUCGGCUUAACCGGAGUAGUGCAUUGGAAACUGGGAGACUUGAGUGCAGAAGAGGAGAGUGGAACUCCAUGUG